CUUUUUGCAAAGAUUGAUUUACGAAAAACUUGAAUAACUGGGCCAAAAUUAUUCUGAUUUAGACUUAUGGGGUCUCAGUAGAAAGAUAUUUUCCCACUCUUUUUAGUUUUGUCAAAAAAAAAUUAUUAUUUUUUCAAA
This is a long non-coding RNA of Rhagoletis zephyria (snowberry fruit fly), 138 nucleotides long. RefSeq lists it as uncharacterized. Lineage: Eukaryota; Metazoa; Arthropoda; Insecta; Diptera; Tephritidae. The record is from RefSeq and is a predicted model, not a curated record.